GGGGAUGAAGCUCAGUGGCACCGUGCCUGCCUUGUAAGCACAAGGUCCUGUGUUCAAUCCCCAGUAUCCCCC
This 72-nucleotide transfer RNA is filed under the name Heterocephalus glaber (naked mole-rat). It matches the Rfam family "tRNA". From Rfam's summary of the family: Transfer RNA (tRNA) molecules are approximately 80 nucleotides in length. Their secondary structure includes four short double-helical elements and three loops (D, anti-codon, and T loops). Lineage: Eukaryota; Metazoa; Chordata; Mammalia; Rodentia; Bathyergidae. The record is from Rfam by way of RNAcentral.